AGGCCGUGAUGGGGACACUUGCAUAAUAGCUCCUUGAAUCUUUCCCAAGUUUCAUAUAAGGAUUCCCCAUCCUCUUGUGAGUAUGUAUUAAUUUCAGUCAUUAAUUU
Molecule: small nucleolar RNA, 107 nt
Filed under: Helianthus annuus (common sunflower)
Lineage: Eukaryota; Viridiplantae; Streptophyta; Magnoliopsida; Asterales; Asteraceae
Description: Plant small nucleolar RNA R71
Rfam family: Plant small nucleolar RNA R71
About the family: R71 is a member of the C/D box family of snoRNAs containing the C (UGAUGA) and D (CUGA) box motifs. Multiple nearly identical copies of this snoRNA have been identified in Arabidopsis, and it is thought to function as a 2'-O-ribose methylation guide for 18S ribosomal RNA.
Source: RNAcentral